This 490-nucleotide ribosomal RNA is filed under the name uncultured bacterium. Its description in RNAcentral is "partial 16S ribosomal RNA". It matches the Rfam family "Bacterial small subunit ribosomal RNA", at positions 30 to 507 of the family's 1533-position model. The record is from RNAcentral.
AUUGAACGCUGGCGGCAGGCCUAACACAUGCAAGUCGAACGGUAACAGGAAACAGCUUGCUGUUUCGCUGACGAGUGGCGGACGGGUGAGUAAUGUCUGGGAAACUGCCUGAUGGAGGGGGAUAACUACUGGAAACGGUAGCUAAUACCGCAUAACGUCGCAAGUCCAAAGAGGGGGACCUUCGGGCCUCUUGCCAUCGGAUGUGCCCAGAUGGGAUUAGCUAGUAGGUGGGGUAACGGCUCACCUAGGCGACGAUCCCUAGCUGGUCUGAGAGGAUGACCAGCCACACUGGAACUGAGACACGGUCCAGACUCCUACGGGAGGCAGCAGUGGGGAAUAUUGCACAAUGGGCGCAAGCCUGAUGCAGCCAUGCCGCGUGUAUGAAGAAGGCCUUCGGGUUGUAAAGUACUUUCAGCGGGGAUGAAGGGAGUAAAGUUAAUACCUUUGCUCAUUGACGUUACCCGCAGAAGAAGCACCGGCUAACUCCGUG